GUGGCAGCCGCCGCGGUAAUACGUAGGGUCCAAGCGUUGAUCGGAAUUACUGGGCGUAAAGCGUGCGCAGGCGGUUGUGCAAGACCGAUGUGAAAUCCCCGGGCUUAACCUGGGAAUUGCAUUGGUGACUGCACGGCUAGAGUGUGUCAGAGGGGGGUAGAAUUCCACGUGUAGCAGUGAAAUGCGUAGAGAUGUGGAGGAAUACCGAUGGCGAAGGCAGCCCCCUGGGAUAACACUGACGCUCAUGCACGAAAGCGUGGGGAGCAAACAGGAUUAGAUACCCCUGGUAGUCCACGCCCUAAACGAUGUCAACUAGUUGUUGGGGAUUCAUUUCCUUAGUAACGUAGCUAACGCGUGAAGUUGACCGCCUGGGGAGUACGGUCGCAAGAUUAAAACU
RNAcentral lists this ribosomal RNA (397 nucleotides) under uncultured bacterium. RNAcentral describes it as "bacterial SSU rRNA". It matches the Rfam family "Bacterial small subunit ribosomal RNA", at positions 505 to 901 of the family's 1533-position model. The record is from RNAcentral.